AUUUGUACCGAUUAAUAAAUAUCUUCUCAUUUAUCCUUGGAUAUCCCUCCUCCACGUCCCACAUGUCAAGGUACCACCAAUCAGAUUUCCAACCUCUCAUUCUCGUCCACUCUCUUUGACUUUUCCUUCUUUCUCUUCAUAAUAUCUUUCUUUCUUCUUCUGCAACAAACUUCUCUUUUCUUCUUCUUCCUCUUUUCUUUUAUUCCUUGCAGCACUUCUUCCUUCUUUCAUUUCUUUUGCUGAAGCACCCACACCACCAUGGUACCUCUCACUCACGUCCCCUUCUCCCUCUCCACGAGAUGCUACCGCUGGCUACCAUCACCAUGUCUUCUUCCUCUCAACACCAUCGUCCCUCCUCCUCACCGUGGCUGUAUGUCCAGCCAAGAGCCACCACCACCUUGACUUUUCUUCUCUUUGGACAACCAACCCAUGAGCCACCACCAUAUACAAAAGCUCCGACCAUGGCCACUCCAAACAGCCAUGAACACGCGAGCACCACAGCCACCGCUGGUCACCACAACCACGCCUCCUUUCAUGAGCGAACCACCAUGUCUUCUCCAAUCUUCAAGGCUGAAGCCAUUUUUCCUCAAAGCUUUCCUUUUUCGUGCUUUUCUCCUCUCACACAAAGAACAAACAAGGGUACGAAGGACGAAAGCGCCUUGCGACGAAGCUAAGGAAUAGAAGGAAGCGAGCCGACGCGAAAAACAAAGAUGAGAUAGGAUUGGAGUUGCAGUUUAGGAAGAAAAUUGGCUAAGGUAAGGGUAACUCGGUUUUAGAGCGUCUUUGAGUCUUGCAUGCUUUUAUCGCACUGCCUGUGUUUGAGAUGAAGAUGUUUAUAUUGAUUGGCAGAUGAUUAUGAUUAUUAUGCUGAAUUUGGAAAAUGUUUUCUGAGAGGCUUCGGCCGUUUACUGGUUUCUGUCGUUACUGCUUCCUAGUGGAUGAAACAUGUGGUUACUUUGGAUUGGUCCUUGGGUGGGCUUUGUUAUUGUCUGACUUGGCAUAUAGGGCUUGAGUCAAGUGGCGAUGAGGAGGUGUGUCCUAUCAUUGUCCCAUCUUGCGAGAUGCUAAGUGGCGAUCAGGAGGUGUGUCCUAUGAUUGUCCCGUCUUGUGUGACGUUAAGUGGCGAUUAGGAGGUGUGUCCUAUGAUUGUCCCGUCAUGUAUGACGUUAUAAGUGGCGAUGAGGAGGUGUGUCCUAUCAUUGUCCCGUCUUGAGAGACGAUAUUGAUCGAUCCAUUUUGUUAGCAGCAUAUAGUUGCAUUAUAGGGAACUAACACCUGACCCUAUGUUGUUGGAUUUUCGUAUUGGUUUAUUGAUAUCUGAUUUGAUGUUACAUUGUUGAGGUUAUUAUUAUCUGAGUCCGAUUUAUGUUUAAGUUGUUGAUAUAUGAGUUGAGUUAUGUUGCUAGUUAUUUACCAUGCCAGGUAAUUAAAUUCGAACAGCAUGAUUUUCUCUUUAUACAUGGUAAUUGCAUGGAGUUAACCCUUUCUAUUUGCUACUUGUUGUUUGGGCGCUUAACGCUAUUAGGCGAUGGAGAAUCUUCGAUGAAGGUUGACCUUCGUACGAGUUCGAGAUGAGGACUUGAAGAAUUAUGGAAGACUCAAAGAAUAGAGUCGGGUCUAGGGAUAGAGCCUUGGGUUAGAGAGCUUACCGUUAUUGGUUUAAGGUUGCAUAAUGAUUUUAUGAAUUUAUAUUUGAGGUUUCGGGUAGGUUCCGAUGCAUUGCUUUCCUGCGGUUCCCCGAUGUGGAGAUCGUAGGGAGUAUUUCGGAUUUAUGGUGUCAUUGCAUAAUAGGUUCUUUGUUGAGUUGUUUCUAUUGGUUAGGUUUUGUAGGUUGGGUGAUUUCGGGUUUACUUUCGGGUACUUGCCUUGUUCAAGGCUUGAUGUAAAUCCCAUUGUAGUUGGGAGUAUGCAUGACAUGUUUUGGAAAUACAUUUGAAAAGAAAAAAAUAAUACUCGUGUUUAUGUAUCA
Long non-coding RNA from Lotus japonicus, 1969 nucleotides. RefSeq lists it as uncharacterized. NCBI's taxonomy places the organism in Eukaryota, Viridiplantae, Streptophyta, Magnoliopsida, Fabales, Fabaceae. The record is from RefSeq and is a predicted model, not a curated record. The transcript has 2 exons.